GGUUAAGCGACUAAGCGUACACGGUGGAUGCCCUGGCAGUCAGAGGCGAUGAAGGACGUGCUAAUCUGCGAUAAGCGUCGGUGAGGUGAUAUGAACCGUUAUAACCGGCGAUUUCCGAAUGGGGAAACCCAGUGUGUUUCGACACACUAUCAUUAACUGAAUCCAUAGGUUAAUGAGGCGAACCGGGGGAACUGAAACAUCUAAGUACCCCGAGGAAAAGAAAUCAACCGAGAUUCCCCCAGUAGCGGCGAGCGAACGGGGAGGAGCCCAGAGCCUGAAUCAGUGUGUGUGUUAGUGGAAGCGUCUGGAAAGGCGCGCGAUACAGGGUGACAGCCCCGUACACAAAAAUGCACAUAUUGUGAGCUCGAUGAGUAGGGCGGGACACGUGGUAUCCUGUCUGAAUAUGGGGGGACCAUCCUCCAAGGCUAAAUACUCCUGACUGACCGAUAGUGAACCAGUACCGUGAGGGAAAGGCGAAAAGAACCCCGGCGAGGGGAGUGAAAAAGAACCUGAAACCG
RNAcentral lists this ribosomal RNA (518 nucleotides) under Escherichia coli. RNAcentral's name for it is "partial 23S ribosomal RNA". It matches the Rfam family "Bacterial large subunit ribosomal RNA", at positions 1 to 558 of the family's 2925-position model. Lineage: Bacteria; Pseudomonadati; Pseudomonadota; Gammaproteobacteria; Enterobacterales; Enterobacteriaceae. The record is from RNAcentral.